Long non-coding RNA from Centruroides sculpturatus (bark scorpion), 186 nucleotides. RefSeq lists it as uncharacterized. The record is from RefSeq and is a predicted model, not a curated record. The transcript has 3 exons. NCBI's taxonomy places the organism in Eukaryota, Metazoa, Arthropoda, Arachnida, Scorpiones, Buthidae.
CGAGAGUGGUUUAACGAAAAGCUACAACUGAAAACGUGUGAAUUUUGAUGUCUAUAUGAACUUCUAAAUAAUAUCGCUAAGAUGACUUUGUGAAACUCGUUCGAAAAAAGAGUGACAACAGUUAUUGCGUGAAUUUCAGUGUAAUAUGCAAAUAUUGGCCACAGAACGCCAUAUUUGAAAGCCCCG